This 300-nucleotide long non-coding RNA is filed under the name Coffea arabica (coffee). RNAcentral describes it as "long non-coding RNA (CARA_LNC007818)". Lineage: Eukaryota; Viridiplantae; Streptophyta; Magnoliopsida; Gentianales; Rubiaceae. The record is from RNAcentral.
CCUAUUAUUGGGUUUUGACUGACCAAACUAUGAUUGAUGAAGUAUUUGAAAUAGAGGCUUCAAAACUUCCAUGUUAUUUUGCGUUGGACUCUAUUUCUUCGUGUCACACUGUUGCUGAUACAGAAAAGUUCAUAAGUAAUGCAUUGUGGAUUAAACUAUUUUCUUUGUGAUGGGUACGACUAUAUCUGUAUGUUGUGGUUUUCACCGGUCUUUUUUUGGACCUUGGCAGAUAUCAUGGGAAUUGUUCUCUGUGUCUUUCCUGCCAGGGAGGUUUAUUUUGAAGGGGGACCAUCUGUUGCG